UCUACUCCUCCCUGUUUUAUUGCCUCGGCUCCCUUAAUGCUAUUAUGCAGCCUCAGUGAUAAGCCGGUGAAGAUGUAGCAAUUGCAGUCAUCGAAAAGGAACCAAGCUGAAAAGAAGAGGACACCUGGCCCUGCAUUGUCACCAGGCAUCAUGACAGAGGGGAGUAUUGAGGAAGGAUUUGAAGGAGGCCAAUGCAUUGAUUCUGGGAGGUUUCUCGGGAGCUCCUCCCAAGUGUGAAGGGCAGCAUGAGAGAAAACACACUGGCGUUUGGUUGUAAAUGUAACAAGAUGGUGAUGGAUAGUGGAAUCCUGGAAUGAUCAGAGAGGAUGCCACGAGAAGGCACCCACCUGUUUGCAACCUGGGAUGCAGAUCCUGGACUAGGCUUAGCCAGCUGCUCACUGGAACGGCCGGAGUGGCUGCCACAAUGCUGAAAUGUGGAGUAGCCCAAUCUUCAUAGCGUGACUAUGGGCAGCAAUGCAGAUGGUCAAGCACGUGGUGGAAGGACGCAUCAUUAGAAGAUUGGAGGGUGAACUGCAGCACAUUGCUACCCUCAAUGAUGCAGCGGUGAGAUGGCUGGACAAUCUAGACACUGACUGAUGACAAAUACAAAAGAUGUGAUUCAGGGCCGGCUUUAGGCCUAUUCCACCAAUUCCCCAGAAUCGGGCCCUGCGAUUAAGAGGGCCCC
Molecule: long non-coding RNA, 685 nt
Organism: Gopherus evgoodei (Goodes thornscrub tortoise)
Lineage: Eukaryota; Metazoa; Chordata; Testudines; Testudinidae
Exons: 3
Source: RefSeq, a predicted model, not a curated record